Papaver somniferum (opium poppy) is the source of this 1108-nucleotide long non-coding RNA. RefSeq lists it as uncharacterized. NCBI's taxonomy places the organism in Eukaryota, Viridiplantae, Streptophyta, Magnoliopsida, Ranunculales, Papaveraceae. The record is from RefSeq and is a predicted model, not a curated record. The transcript has 3 exons.
UCGUCUCUCCAGUUUGUUCCUCCUCCUCUCUGCCACCCUCUUAUCCACCUCUUCUUCCAGGGGCAGAUUCAUUUUCUUUGAUUGUCACUCAACAAGCUAACAAAAAAUUCAAUCAUCCUUCACCAUUUCCGCCUCUAUUACUCAUUCACCACUAAUAACAUCACCACCAUCAUAUCCAACACCACCACCAAAUUAUCCACCGUUUCACCACCAACACCAUCGCCACCACCGUAAUCAGCACCACCACCACCAUACUGAUACAAAUUUCCUAAUUUCAAUCACCGAUUUUGUCCAGCACCACCAGCAAAUUCAUCCAAAUUUAUGAGUUUCACUCACCAAUUGUGUACUCCUUUCAUAUUAGGGUUUCAACUAACUUAUUUGAACACUAAAUUACGGUAAUAACAAAGAUUGAAUUGCAGAAUUGUAGAACAGUGUGAAUUGCAGAAUUGGUUAUUUUUCUUCCCUUAAUCAGCAAGGAUGGAAGUUAACUGCAUGGAGUACAAUUCGAUCCAAAUGGUGUCACAAUUUAAGUAUCUUCAAAAAACAUCACCAAUUGGAUUAAAUAGGUUCAGAAAACAGUACCAAUUGGGUUCCAAUUAAAUGAAGGACAAGUCACUUCAUCCCCGUCAAAGUCCUAGACUAACAGAGAUACAAUGACAAAGGGAUGCUCUACUACAGGUUUGUCGAGUUUUGGAUAAAGAAAAGUACAAAUCGAUGACUGUAAAUGCAAAGGAUGCAAAUCUAUAAAGACGUCGAAAUUCUUACAAUUCGAUGACUAAACAUGAAAAGGAAGCUUAUAUACAAAGACGUUCAAAUGCUUAUCAUUUGAAGAAAACAAAAGGUGGUGGAAACACAAUUCAGGGGACAGGAAGUUGCAAGAAUAACUCUCAAGAUGGAGCUUGCGCGCACACAAUGUCACAAGUCGAGAAUAAUUUGUGGAUAGGCAUAGCAGUACGGUUAUAAUGGUGAUGGUAAAGGAGUGUCUAGGCACUUGGAUUACUGGAUAUUAGUUGAUGCAAGGUAAAGCCUCAAAAAAAAAAAAUUGUUUUCAUUCGCAAACGAAAAAAGGAAGAAGAUUUGAUUGAAACAAAACAAUGGAAUGGUCUUA